Molecule: ribosomal RNA, 254 nt
Filed under: uncultured bacterium
Lineage: Bacteria
Description: partial 16S ribosomal RNA
Rfam family: Bacterial small subunit ribosomal RNA
Source: RNAcentral
UACGUAGGGGGCGAGCGUUGUCCGGAUUCAUUGGGCGUAAAGAGCUCGUAGGCGGCUUGGCAAGUCGGGUGUGAAAACUUCAGGCUCAACCUGGAGCGGCCACCCGAUACUGCCAUGGCUUGAGUCCGGUAGGGGACCACGGAAUUCCUGGUGUAGCGGUGAAAUGCGCAGAUAUCAGGAGGAACACCGGUGGCGAAGGCGGGUCUCUGGGCCGAUACUGACGCUGAGGAGCGAAAGUGUGGGGAGCGAACAGG